This 490-nucleotide ribosomal RNA is filed under the name uncultured bacterium. Its description in RNAcentral is "partial 16S ribosomal RNA". It matches the Rfam family "Bacterial small subunit ribosomal RNA", at positions 29 to 507 of the family's 1533-position model. The record is from RNAcentral.
UAUUAACUCUAGCUCCAGGCUUAACACAUGCCAGUCGAGGGGCAGCAUGGUCUUAGCUUGCUAAGGCCGAUGGCGACCGGCGCACGGGUGAGUAACACGUAUCCAACCUGCCGUCUACUCUUGGACAGCCUUCUGAAAGGAAGAUUAAUACAAGAUGGCAUCAUGAGUCCGCAUGUUCACAUGAUUAAAGGUAUUCCGGUAGACGAUGGGGAUGCGUUCCAUUAGAUAGUAGGCGGGGUAACGGCCCACCUAGUCUUCGAUGGAUAGGGGUUCUGAGAGGAAGGUCCCCCACAUUGGAACUGAGACACGGUCCAAACUCCUACGGGAGGCAGCAGUGAGGAAUAUUGGUCAAUGGGCGAGAGCCUGAACCAGCCAAGUAGCGUGAAGGAUGACUGCCCUAUGGGUUGUAAACUUCUUUUAUAAAGGAAUAAAGUCGGGUAGGGAUACCCGUUUGCAUGUACUUUAUGAAUAAGGAUCGGCUAACUCCGUG